This 216-nucleotide long non-coding RNA is filed under the name Vicia faba (fava bean). The record is from RNAcentral. Lineage: Eukaryota; Viridiplantae; Streptophyta; Magnoliopsida; Fabales; Fabaceae.
AUGACUCCAUGCACCGGCUUCAAUUACAGACCUGUAGAGUUUUUGGCUUAUGCUAAUUGGCCUGAGGACAAGCCUGUUCAACAGGAGGGGGCAGUUGUGGAAGAAGAAGUUGGUAAUGAUGAUAGUUCUAGUGGCGAGACAAUUGGUCAGGCUAAGCGUGGUUCUAGAGCGCUAGGAGUAGACAGGGCAGAGACUUGCGUGCUAAGCCCGGUCUGA